This is a non-coding RNA of Ceratotherium simum simum (southern white rhinoceros), 1249 nucleotides long. Lineage: Eukaryota; Metazoa; Chordata; Mammalia; Perissodactyla; Rhinocerotidae. The record is from RefSeq and is a predicted model, not a curated record.
ACAGUCGUCACCGCUGCGGAUGCUCGCCACUCCGGAGCACUCUGGGAGUUGUAGUUUCCUGGCUCACUCCAGACGGGCCUGAACAAAAGAGAUGGACGGAUGACUAAAACUAGAAUUCCCAGGAAGCCCAGCGGCGCAGCUCGCGCUGUGUGGCGGGAGUGCCCCCUGAGGCUCCGCCUUCUUCGGCUGGUGGAGGGAGCUUUCCGCGGAUGGGUAUGGCGAAUUGUUGGCACCUGGAUGGCUAAGUCUUCAGGUUAUCAUAAAACAAGAUCACAAGCCAAAAAGUAACAUAGGAAAUAAUAAAGACUGGGUCAUUUUAUCAGAUUUUGCUGUUUCAUGUACAGAAGGCUAUAGGACUGUUUUGCCAGAUUCUAAAUGACAACUUUUAAAUCAGAGCCUUGAAAUCUAUAGAUGUCCAUUAUAUUCUGAGGAACAAAGGGAAUGUGGAAAUGAAAGAGAGAGGGAGAGAGAGGCUGGCAGAUGUAAUGAGACGCGGUGAAGGUGUACGCAGACUGGCACUCCCACUCCUCCCGUCUGCUCUCACUGCAGCCCUGGGUAACUCGCAGGCUAACACAAACAGCUUUUCUCCCGCAGCCUGCCCUCUGUCACUGUCAUUUUCAUGAAUUCAAAGGCAAUUUACCAGUGAUUUCUGGGUGCUGGGGCUGAUUUUCUGUGCAUAUUUAAGAAUGUCUUCCAAGCAAGCCACCUCUCCAUUUGCCUGUGCAGCUGAUGGAGAGGAAACGUUGACCCAAGAUUUGACCUCAAGGGAAAAGGAAGAGGGCAGUGAUCAACAUGUGGCCUCCCAUCUGCCUCUGCACCCCAUAAUGCACAACAAACCUCACUCUGAGGAGCUACCAACACUUGUCAAUACCAUUCAACAAGAUGCCGACUGGGACAGUGUUCUGUCGUCUCAGCAAAGAAUGGAGUCAGAGAAUAAUAAGUUAUGUUCCCUAUAUUCCUUCCGAAAUACCUCUACCUCACCACAUAAGCCUGACGAAGGGAGUCGGGACCGCGAGAUAAUGACCAGUGUUACUUUUGGAACCCCAGAACGCCGCAAAGGGAGCCUUGCCGAUGUGGUGGACACACUGAAACAGAAGAAGCUUGAGGAAAUGACUCGGACUGAACAAGAGGGUAUGUGUGGACUUAACUAUUGGGCUUUAUUCUUUUAAAGAUUCCAGGCCUUAAAAAAAAAAUGAGUGGGAUUUCAAGGGCCAGAGAAGUGCAUAAUUGGCACUAGCUAGGAAAAAGU